UUUUAGAAGAAGACAAAUGCUUUGCCUAUAUAUACAUCCACCCUCCGUUCACUCCACUGUUCCUCUUCAAGCAUUUUCUCAAACAUGAAUAUCUCUUUUACUAUAAAACCUUCUUUCACAACUCAAAGAUCAAAAACACAUGUCCUAACCUCCAGAAAUAUGAGGUUGAUCGCCCAUUUCAAAAGAAACGCUUGGUUACCACCACCAUCACCACAGACAGAAUCCAUCUGGAAGAAUGGAUUAAAAGAGAAGAUGGAGGUAGUAAGGGCAUUGGGUUUGAUGUCAAUACACGACACAUUGUGGUUGAAGAUGAACAGAC
This 319-nucleotide long non-coding RNA is filed under the name Olea europaea (common olive). RNAcentral's name for it is "long non-coding RNA (OEUR_LNC015304)". Lineage: Eukaryota; Viridiplantae; Streptophyta; Magnoliopsida; Lamiales; Oleaceae. The record is from RNAcentral.